RNAcentral lists this ribosomal RNA (860 nucleotides) under uncultured soil archaeon. RNAcentral describes it as "bacterial SSU rRNA". It matches the Rfam family "Archaeal small subunit ribosomal RNA", at positions 21 to 859 of the family's 1478-position model. The record is from RNAcentral.
ACCCGACUGCUAUCGGAUUGAGAUUUAGCCAUGCGAGUCGAACGUCCCCCUGUUGCGGGGGGCGUGGCGUACGGCUCAGUAACACGUAGUCAACCUGCCCUGGAGACAAGGACAACCCCGGGAAACUGGGAUUAAUCCUUGAUAGGUCAUCUCAUCUGGAAGGAGAGAUGGCUUAAAGGGGUGCGCGGGCUUCUUCCGCGUAUUCGCUCCAGGAUGGGACUGCGACCGAUCAGGCUGUUGGCGGGGUAAUGGCCCACCAAACCUGUAACCGGUACGGGCCUUGAGAGAGGUGGCCCGGAGAUGGACACUGAGAGAAGGGUCCAGGUCCUACGGGGCGCAGCAGGCGCGAAACCUUCGCAAUGCGCGAAAGCGUGACGAGGUUAAUCCGAGUGACUCCCGCUGAGGGGGUCUUUUGUCAGCUGUAAAUAGGCAGGCGAAUAAGGGGAGGGCAAGCCUGGUGUCAGCCGCCGCGGUAAUACCAGCUCCUCGAGUGGUCGGGACGGUUAUUGGGCCUAAAGCAUCCGUAGCCGGUUCCGUAGGUCUUCUGUUAAAUCCAACCGCUUAACGGUUGACCUGCAGAGGAUACCGCGGGACUAGGAGGCGGGAGAGGCGGACGGUACUCCGCGUGUAGGGGUAAAAUCCUUUGAUCCGCGGAAGACCACCAGUGGCGAAAGCGGUCCGCCAGAACGCGCUCGACGGUGAGGGAUGAAAGCUGGGGGAGCGAACCGGGAUUAGAUACCCGGGUAGUCCCAGCCGUAAACGAUGCUAGCUAGAUGAUUCAUUCGCAAGUCGCGAAUGAAGUGUCGCAGGAAGCCGUUAAGCUAGCCGCCUGGGGAGUACGGUCGCAGACUGAAACUUAA